This 376-nucleotide unclassified non-coding RNA is filed under the name uncultured Actinomycetes bacterium. RNAcentral's name for it is "uncultured actinobacterium contains 16S-23S intergenic spacer region". Lineage: Bacteria; Bacillati; Actinomycetota; Actinomycetes. The record is from RNAcentral.
UCCAGCUUAUCGCUGGCGGUCUCCUGAGAGUGCCCCCUUGCGGGGUUGCAACACAGGACAAGGGUUGCGCUCGUUGCGGGACUUAACCCAACAUCUCACGGCACGAGCUGACGACAGCCAUGCAGCACCUGUGCUAGCCCUAUAACGACACGGGCUUUCACCCGCUUUAACUAGCAUGUCAAACCCAGGUAAGGUUCUUCGCGUUGCAUCGAAUUAAGCCACAUGCUCCGCCGCUUGUGCGGGCCCCCGUCAAUUCCUUUGAGUUUUAGCCUUGCGGCCGUACUCCCCAGGCGGAGUGCUUAAUGCGUUAGCUGCGGCACAGAGCGGGUUGAAGACCGCCCCACACCUAGCGCCCAACGUUUACGGCAUGGACUAC